UGCAGUCGAGCGGACAGAAGGGAGCUUGCUCCCGGAUGUUAGCGGCGGACGGGUGAGUAACACGUGGGUAACCUGCCUGUAAGACUGGGAUAACUCCGGGAAACCGGAGCUAAUACCGGAUAGUUCCUUGAACCGCAUGGUUCAAGGAUGAAAGACGGUUUCGGCUGUCACUUACAGAUGGACCCGCGGCGCAUUAGCUAGUUGGUGAGGUAACGGCUCACCAAGGCGACGAUGCGUAGCCGACCUGAGAGGGUGAUCGGCCACACUGGGACUGAGACACGGCCCAGACUCCUACGGGAGGCAGCAGUAGGGAAUCUUCCGCAAUGGACGAAAGUCUGACGGAGCAACGCCGCGUGAGUGAUGAAGGUUUUCGGAUCGUAAAGCUCUGUUGUUAGGGAAGAACAAGUGCAAGAGUAACUGCUUGCACCUUGACGGUACCUAACCAGAAAGCCACGGCUAACUACGUGCCAGCAGCCGCGGUAAUACGUAGGUGGCAAGCGUUGUCCGGAAUUAUUGGGCGUAAAGGGCUCGCAGGCGGUUUCUUAAGUCUGAUGUGAAAGCCCCCGGCUCAACCGGGGAGGGUCAUUGGAAACUGGGAAACUUGAGUGCAGAAGAGGAGAGUGGAAUUCCACGUGUAGCGGUGAAAUGCGUAGAGAUGUGGAGGAACACCAGUGGCGAA
Molecule: ribosomal RNA, 679 nt
Filed under: Bacillus pumilus
Lineage: Bacteria; Bacillati; Bacillota; Bacilli; Caryophanales; Bacillaceae
Description: bacterial SSU rRNA
Rfam family: Bacterial small subunit ribosomal RNA
Source: RNAcentral